RNAcentral lists this long non-coding RNA (1579 nucleotides) under Pelobates cultripes (western spadefoot toad). The record is from RNAcentral. Lineage: Eukaryota; Metazoa; Chordata; Amphibia; Anura; Pelobatidae.
AUAUUGGUCACUGAUUUGUUUUUGUUUUGUUUUUGAAUGUCAGAAAUGUAUAUUUGUGAAUGUUGAGAUGUUAUAUUGGUUUCACUGGUAAUAAUAAAUAAUUGAAAUGGGUAUAUAUUUGUUUUUUGUUAAGUUGCCUAAUAAUGAUGCACAGUAAUAGUCACCUGCACACACAGAUAUCCCCCUAACAUAGCUAUAACUAAAAACAAACUAAAAACUACUUACAAAAAUAUUCAGCUUUGAUAUUAAUGAGUUUUUUGGGUUCAUUGAGAACAUGGUUGUUGUUCAAUAAUAAAAUUAAUCCUCAAAAAUACAACUUGCCUAAUAAUUCUGCACUCCCUGUAAUUGUAACCUUGUGUAACAUGUAUACAGUGUGUGACAAGAUCUGUAACUGCGUGUAACAUUUAUACAGUGUGUGAAUAGAUAAGGCCCUGGUGAGAUAGCGCAGCUAAGCGGACAAAGGCACAUGUAUGAGUGUGGGGAUAGAUGCGUGUGAUUGGUUGGACAUGAAUGUGUGGGUGGGAUUAUGUGGUGUGUGUUCCGUAGGGGGUGGUCUUACCUGAAUGCCAAUUGGGAUUUGGGCCAGCAAACAGCUUCCUGUCCUCCUGCUCCUGUUUGUCCUCGGCCUGUAGUCAAUCUGCUUGAGAGAUGGAUGUGGAGAUUAUUCUGGCGUCCCUCAGAGCUGCUGCUGCGCCGGAUGGCUGCUGGUGUGGGACCUCCCCGCAGCCUGCCUCAUUCAGGGGCCUCCCUUGCGGCCCCUGCUCCUGGGGGCCGCACUAGCACCAGCCAGCAUUUUCGCCCACUGGUUGAAUUGUCCCCUGACACCACUCCUCGGGCCCAGUUGAGGAGUAGGAGCCCAGGCCAGAGGCACCUGGCAGGCUGAUGGUUCACAGCCGACUCCUGCUACACGGCCUGCCCCAGUCUCCGGCAAUGGACCACAGUGUGCGGCCACCCAGCUUCCAGGUCUCCCCGCGGCAGAUGGGACGGGGGGGCUGGGUCCAGGCCCCCAUGGUGAGUAGACAGUACCGCUGUUGGGGUCGGGUGGGGGGUUACUCCAGUGUGUCGGGAGCCUCCUCUGCUGGUGAAGUCUGUAUCCCCUGUCCCCCCUCCUGGUUUUUUUCCCCCUCUCUUGUCCCUGGUCUUCCCCUUUGUUGUUUUCCAGGGGACUCAGCUUGCCCCUGGUUCCCCUCCUACCUCCUCUGGUCCCUCUGCCCCCUUCUCCAUCUGAAUCCCUACUGGGUUUUCCUCCCCCCUUUCUCCUUCCUCACAUGCCCCCUCCCCUUCUCUCCCUUCUCUUUCCUGGUCCUCUCUGCUCUAUAUCCUCCCUUCUACUCUCCUUUGGCCCCCUCUCGCCCCUGCUGGUCACUCACAUUGGCCACCUACCAUGUGGGGCGUGUUCUCACCGCCUCUUCAUUGCUCUUAUCUCAGGACCCGGCUGCUGUUACUGGAACUGCCCAGCAGGUGGCGCCUGGAACACAGUGGAUGCUGGAAUUCCUGUUGAUUUGCCUCAACCUUCUGUGCUUGCUGUGCCACGAUCGGAACGCCAGGCUGCAACAGUUAAGUGUGGUGUUCCGUCCUC